CCACAUGCCCCCUCGGCGGUGUAGAGUGCCACUGCGAAUGCCUCUGGAUGGUUGUCGGCUGGAUCCCGAUCUCACCCCAUGAGUAAUGAGAGGCCUUAAGAUCCCAGAGGUACCGUAUAGGAAGUCCAGAAAGUGUUGAGGUUUCUACUUCCUGCAAACAUAAGGGGAAGCAGGACCAGAGAGGAACCCCUCACCGACAGCCACCAGCUGCGUAUGCCAGGCCCGUUGCCCAAGGAUGCCGAGGAUGACCCCGCAGGUUGGCAGGUGGCCAAGAGGAGAUCCCAACUGCCUUCUUCUCUUAGCCCGGGUGACAGUGUGGCAUGCCUCCCGACCUCUCUUCCUUCCUCCUCUGGACGAAGCGAUGACACAAGACAAUAAGGAAACGGUCCUUGCCUGAACCUGUGAGUUUGCAUUCCUUGUCAUCAGACACAUGCAGCCAUGAGGUAAAGGACUUGCCCCCCGGCGGGCGAGCUGGGCUAUCAAAGCUACAAUCACCUGUUCUUAAGACAGCCACUGAGAGAAGUUAUUCAGACAAAACAUUUGGGGGCCCUUUCCAAUGGGGCCUUUCUCACUUAAAUAAUAAGCUCCCUGUCAAGUUUUAUUUGACAGACUCAGCAUACGACAGGCCAGGCUUGCAGAUUUUUCUGAGCCUACUUCCCCCUCGAGUCUGCCUGUGGUUAAUCAUACUCCUGCAAGAGACAGUUUCUCGUCCAGCCUGGGCGCUCACAUUCUGUGACUCCACCCAAGGUCCAGGACUUCUGAGCCUGCUAUCACCAAACACAAGCCCCAAACUGAAACAAGGACACUCUAAGUGGUGGACCUAGUGAAGUCAGCUUAGUGCCAGCCCUUAUUCCCCGCAGGUAAUAAGACCAAAUAUUCUGCCUGACUUUACCACGAUACUUUAAGGUCCGUUUCCAUCACCCUUCAUGAUGUGGCACCAUGAUAGGCAUGUAGGUGGGGAGGUACCAGGUAUUGAGGCUGGGCAGGGAGCAGGGGCAGUGGGAUGUGGGCUGGCCUUGGACCUUGCUACUUCCUACCUGGCUGGCCUGGGCACCACCUGACACUCUAAGAAAUCUUUUCCCUCAUUUCAUCUUCCUCAUGGAGACAGAAACACUUAUCCUGCAAGGUGGUUUUAAAAGGUAGCAACUGGAAGUUCCCUGGUGGUCUAGUGGUUAGGAUUCAGCACAUUCACCUCUGCAGCCAGGGUUCAAUCCCUGCUCUGGGAACUAAGGUCCCACAUCAAGCCACUGCAUGCCAUGGCCAAAAAAAAAAAAAAAAAA
RNAcentral lists this long non-coding RNA (1280 nucleotides) under Sus scrofa (pig). RNAcentral describes it as "uncharacterized LOC100626841, transcript variant 2 (LOC100626841)". Lineage: Eukaryota; Metazoa; Chordata; Mammalia; Artiodactyla; Suidae. The record is from RNAcentral.